AGAGUUUGAUCCUGGCUCAGAACGAACGCUGGCGGCAUGCCUAACACAUGCAAGUCGAACGCCUUUUGGAUUUCGGUCCGGGAGGAGUGGCGCACGGGUGAGUAGCGCGUGGGAACCUGCCCUUUUGUGGGGGAUAACCGAGGGAAACUUCGGCUAAUACCGCAUGCGCCCCCGGGGAGACCUGGGGGGAAAGAUUUAUC
Molecule: ribosomal RNA, 200 nt
Filed under: uncultured bacterium
Lineage: Bacteria
Description: partial 16S ribosomal RNA
Rfam family: Bacterial small subunit ribosomal RNA
Source: RNAcentral